UACGGCCAUAUAGCGUUGAAACACCGGUCCCCACUCCCUUCGUACGAUCACCGAUGUUAAGCGUUCGUCGAGCCUGGUCAGUAUCUCGAUGUAUGACCGUUUGGGAAUACCAGGCGCUGUAG
This is a non-coding RNA of Acanthosepion pharaonis, 122 nucleotides long. The record is from the annotation of a GenBank genome assembly. NCBI's taxonomy places the organism in Eukaryota, Metazoa, Mollusca, Cephalopoda, Sepiida, Sepiidae.